UUGAAUAUUUGCCUAGUGGCGGAUGGGUGAGUAACGCGUGGGCAACCUACCCUGUACAGGGGGAUAACAAUGGGAAACCAUUGCUAAUACCCCAUAAUACCUUUUAAGGGCAUCCUUGAAAGGUCAAAGAAUUUCGGUAUAGGAUGGGCCCGCGUCUGAUUAGCUAGUUGGUGGGGUAAUGGCCUACCAAAGCAACGAUCAGUAGCCGGCCUGAGAGGGUGAACGGCCACACUGGAACUGAGACACGGUCCAGACUCCUACGGGAGGCAGCAGUGGGGAAUAUUGCACAAUGGGGGAAACCCUGAUGCAGCAACGCCGCGUGAGCGAUGAAGGCUUUCGAGUCGUAAAGCUCUGUCCUAAGGGAAGAUAAUGACGGUACCUUAGGAGGAAGCCCCGGCUAACUACGUGCCAGCAGCCGCGGUAAUACGUAGGGGGCAAGCGUUAUCCGGAAUUAUUGGGCGUAAAGGGUGCGUAGGCGGCCUUAUGGGUCAGAGGUUAAAUACUACGGCUUAACCGUAGUAUGCCUUUGAAACUAUAGGGCUUGAGUGCAGGAGAGGAGAGUGGAAUUCCUAGUGUAGCGGUGAAAUGCGUAGAUAUUAGGAGGAAUACCAGUGGCGAAGGCGACUCUCUGGACUGCAACUGACGCUAAGGCACGAAAGCGUGGGUAGCGAACAGGAUUAGAUACCCUGGUAGUCCACGCUGUAAACGAUGAGUGCUAGGUGUUGGGGGUCAAACCUCGGUGCCGCAGUUAACGCAUUAAGCACUCCGCCUGGGGAGUACGUUCGCAAGAAUAAAACUCAAAGGAAUUGACGGGGACCCGCACAAGCAGCGGAGCAUGUGGUUUAAUUCGAAGCAACGCGAAGAACCUUACCUGGAUUUGACAUCCCUCUGACCGUCUUUUAAUCGAGAUUUUCCCUUCGGGGACAGAGGAGACAGGUGGUGCAUGGUUGUCGUCAGCUCGUGUCGUGAGAUGUUGGGUUAAGUCCCGCAACGAGCGCAACCCUUGUCUUUAGUUGCCAUCAAGUAAAGUUGGGCACUCUAAAGAGACUGCCAAGGUAAACUUGGAGGAAGGUGGGGAUGACGUCAAAUCAUCAUGCCCUUUAUGUCCAGGGCUACACACGUGCUACAAUGGCCGAUACAACGGGCAGCUAAGGAGCAAUCCGGAGCAAAUCCUACAAAAUCGGUCCCAGUUCGGAUUGUGGGCUGAAAUUCGCCCACAUGAAGUCGGAGUUGCUAGUAAUCGCGAAUCAGCAUGUCGCGGUGAAUGCGUUCCCGGCUCUUGUACACACCGCCCGUCA
This 1298-nucleotide ribosomal RNA is filed under the name uncultured bacterium. Its description in RNAcentral is "bacterial SSU rRNA". It matches the Rfam family "Bacterial small subunit ribosomal RNA", at positions 80 to 1399 of the family's 1533-position model. The record is from RNAcentral.